UACGUAGGUGGCGAGCGUUGUCCGGAUUUACUGGGCGUAAAGAGCGCGCAGGCGGUCGUGCAAGUCGCGUGUGAAAGCCCCCGGCUCAACUGGGGAGGGUCACGCGAUACUGCUCGACUCGAAGGCAGGAGAGGGAAGUGGAAUUCCCGGUGUAGUGGUGAAAUGACGUAGAUAUCGGGAGGAACACCAGUGGCGAAGGCGACUUCCUGGCCUGUUCUUGACGCUGAGGCGCGAAAGCUAGGGUAGCAAACGGGG
Molecule: ribosomal RNA, 255 nt
Filed under: uncultured bacterium
Lineage: Bacteria
Description: partial 16S ribosomal RNA
Rfam family: Bacterial small subunit ribosomal RNA
Source: RNAcentral